Molecule: ribosomal RNA, 85 nt
Filed under: Lysinibacillus capsici
Lineage: Bacteria; Bacillati; Bacillota; Bacilli; Caryophanales; Bacillaceae
Also listed under: 1 other name
Source: RNAcentral
UCUAGUGAUGAUGGCAAAGAGGUCACACCCGUUCCCAUACCGAACACGGAAGUUAAGCUCUUUAGCGCCGAUGGUAGUUGGGGGC